AGGAUGAACGCUGGCGGUCUGCUUAACACAUGCAAGUCGAACGGGCGUAGCAAUACGUUAGUGGCGGACGGGUGAGUAACGCGUGAGAAUCUACCUUCAGGACGGAGACAACAGUUGGAAACGACUGCUAACCCCCGAUGUACUGAAAAGGCAAAUAUUUAUAGCCUGAAGAAGAGCUCGCGUCCGAUUAGCUAGUUGGAGAGGUAAAAGCUCACCAAGGCGACGAUCGGUAGCUGGUCUGAGAGGACGAUCAGCCACACUGGGACUGAGACACGGCCCAGACUCCUACGGGAGGCAGCAGUGGGAAUUUUCCGCAAUGGGCGAAAGCCUGACGGAGCAAGACCGCGUGGGGAAGAAGGCUCUUGGGUUGUAAACCCCUUUUCUCUGGGAAGAAAGUUGUGAAAGCAGCCUGACGGUACCAGAGGAAUCAGCAUCGGCUAACUCCGUGCCAGCAGCCGC
RNAcentral lists this ribosomal RNA (459 nucleotides) under uncultured bacterium. RNAcentral describes it as "SSU rRNA". It matches the Rfam family "Bacterial small subunit ribosomal RNA", at positions 26 to 518 of the family's 1533-position model. The record is from RNAcentral.